CCUACGGGCUGCAGCAGUGGGGAAUAUUGCACAAUGGGCGCAAGCCUGAUGCAGCCAUGCCGCGUGUAUGAAGAAGGCCUUCGGGUUGUAAAGUACUUUCAGCGGGGAGGAAGGUGUUGUGGUUAAUAACCGCAGCAAUUGACGCUACCCGCAGAAGAAGCACCGGCUAACUCCGUGCCAGCAGCCGCGGUAAUACGGAGGGUGCAAGCGUUAGUCGGAAUUACUGGGCGUAAAGCGCACGCAGGCGGUCUGUCAAGUCGGAUGUGAAAUCCCCGGGCUCAACCUCGGAAUUGCAUUUGAAACUGGCAGGCUAGAGUCUUGUAGAGGGGGGUAGAAUUUCAGGUGUAGCGGUGAAAUGCGUAGAGAUCUGAAGGAAUACCAGUGGCGAAGGCGGCCCCCUGGACAAAGACUGACGCUCAGAUGCGAAAGCGUGGGGAGCAAACAGGAUUAGAUACCCGGGUAGUC
RNAcentral lists this ribosomal RNA (465 nucleotides) under uncultured bacterium. Its description in RNAcentral is "bacterial SSU rRNA". It matches the Rfam family "Bacterial small subunit ribosomal RNA", at positions 338 to 795 of the family's 1533-position model. The record is from RNAcentral.